GACGAACGCUGGCGGCGUGCUUAACACAUGCAAGUCGAACGGAGCGAAUGAAAGCUUGCUUUUAUAAGCUUAGUGGCAAACGGGUGAGUAACACGUAGGCAACCUGCCGACAGGAUGGGGACAACAUUCCGAAAGGAAUGCUAAUACCGAAUGAAGUCAGAGGAGGGCAUCCUCUUCUGAUGAAAGAUGGCCUCUAUAUAUAAGCUAUCACCUGUCGAUGGGCCUGCGUCUGAUUAGCUGGUAGGUGAGGUAACGGCUCACCUAGGCGACGAUCAGUAGCCGGUCUGAGAGGAUGAACGGCCACAUUGGGACUGAGACACGGCCCAGACUCCUACGGGAGGCAGCAGUGGGGAAUCUUCCGCAAUGGGCGCAAGCCUGACGGAGCAACGCCGCGUGAGUGAAGAAGGUCUUCGGAUCGUAAAGCUCUGUUGAUGGGGACGAACGUGCCUAAUGCGAAUAGUUUUAGGUAANGACG
This 475-nucleotide ribosomal RNA is filed under the name uncultured bacterium. RNAcentral's name for it is "bacterial SSU rRNA". It matches the Rfam family "Bacterial small subunit ribosomal RNA", at positions 28 to 474 of the family's 1533-position model. The record is from RNAcentral.